UACGUAGGGGGCGAGCGUUAUCCGGAUUUACUGGGUGUAAAGGGAGCGCAGACGGCGCAGCAAGUCUGAAGUGAAAGCCUGGGGCUUAACUCCGGGACUGCUUUGGAAACUGCUGUGCUUGAGUAUCGGAGGGGCGGGCGGAAUUCCCAGUGUAGCGGUGAAAUGCGUAGAUAUUGGGAAGAACACCGGUGGCGAAGGCGGCCUGCUGGACGAUAACUGACGUUGAGGCUCGAAGGCGUGGGGAGCAAAC
RNAcentral lists this ribosomal RNA (250 nucleotides) under uncultured prokaryote. RNAcentral's name for it is "partial 16S ribosomal RNA". It matches the Rfam family "Bacterial small subunit ribosomal RNA", at positions 524 to 773 of the family's 1533-position model. The record is from RNAcentral.